AUUGAACGCUGGCGGAAUGCUUUACACAUGCAAGUCGAACGGCAGCACGGACUUCGGUCUGGUGGCGAGUGGCGAACGGGUGAGUAAUGUAUCGGAACGUGCCCAGUCGUGGGGGAUAACGUAGUGAAAAUUACGCUAAUACCGCAUACGGUCUAUGGCUGAAAGCGGGGGAUCGCAAGACCUCGCGCGAUUGGAGCGGCCGAUAUCGGAUUAGGUAGUUGGUGGGGUAAAGGCCCACCAAGCCAACGAUCUGUAGCUGGUCUGAGAGGACGACCAGCCACACUGGAACUGAGACACGGUCCAGACUCCUACGGGAGGCAGCAGUGGGGAAUUUUGGACAAUGGGCGAAAGCCUGAUCCAGCCAUUCCGCGUGCAGGAUGAAGGCCCUCGGGUUGUAAACUGCUUUUGUACAGAACGAAAAGGUUUCUACUAAUACUAGGAGCUCAUGACGGUACUGUAAGAAUAAGCACCGGCUAACUACGUGCCAGCCGCCGCCGUAA
RNAcentral lists this ribosomal RNA (500 nucleotides) under uncultured bacterium. Its description in RNAcentral is "partial 16S ribosomal RNA". It matches the Rfam family "Bacterial small subunit ribosomal RNA", at positions 30 to 523 of the family's 1533-position model. The record is from RNAcentral.